AAACACUAGAUCUGGACAAUCCCACUAAGACUAACAAAAAGAGGAAUUACAAACUGAGAGGAAUUCACCUGUGACUAAGGAUUGCUUAGGCAGGGGAACAGAAACCUGAUGUUCCUAAACAGCUUUCGUAAGCGAAGAGAAGCAAGGAUGAGUUCUCAUCCCAAGGUGGAAGCCCUGCUUCAAAAGCCAGAGCCCAGUAUCUGCAGA
Cervus elaphus (red deer) is the source of this 207-nucleotide long non-coding RNA. RefSeq lists it as uncharacterized. Lineage: Eukaryota; Metazoa; Chordata; Mammalia; Artiodactyla; Cervidae. The transcript has 3 exons. The record is from RefSeq and is a predicted model, not a curated record.